Long non-coding RNA from Strigops habroptila (Kakapo), 440 nucleotides. RefSeq lists it as uncharacterized. The transcript has 3 exons. The record is from RefSeq and is a predicted model, not a curated record. NCBI's taxonomy places the organism in Eukaryota, Metazoa, Chordata, Aves, Psittaciformes, Psittacidae.
GGGAUGCUAACAGCUUACAGCAACUGUCCCGAAAACAUAAAGCAGCAAUGAGUGAAAGCACAUAGAAUGGAGUGUUCUGGGUGGCGGAGCACCCGCUGGUAGGAAGUGAAUCAGUGUUGAUCAAAGGGAAAGGACAGUCAAGGUGGUCGUAGGUCCACAGCUCCACUGGAUCAUUUUUGGCUUUGGAGCUGGGCAGUGUCAGCCUUCACUGAGAUGCAGAAACACCUAUUUGUUCUGACAGCCCCUUCUGCUGCUCAUCUGAAUUUCAUAGUAUGGGCUCCAGGCUGUGCCAGCACACACUUCCAGAUACAGGAGAGCAUCACCAAACCCAGAAAUGCAACACACCUUCUGCUAGUUUAUCUUCUCCUUCUACCCAGCACACGGUCAUUUGGAAUGUGAAUACAGCACAAGAGAUGAAAUAUUAAUUCGGCCAUGAUAUA